UCCGGCUAGCUGUCAAAAAGAAUUAUAGACCCCUUGACAUAAAGUUAUCCAUAUUUUGAGUGAGAAGUAAGAGAUUUUUCUUUAAUCCCCUCCCCCCUCCAAAAGAAAAGAUGUAAAAAACACUGUGUUUUAUUUUAUUUAUGUGAGGGAGUCGGGUGACACAGUGUGUUCCUUUUCCCAAAUUUCUCUUUUCUUUUUUCUCCUGAUCCCAUCUUUGUGUGCCUGUGCAGUGUAUUCAUUACCCCACUUUUUAUAAUCCUAUUUCCAACAUCCCCACUUCAGUUUGUAGCCUCAACCCCAACCUUGUAAAGGCCUUUCUCAAUCGAAUAAUUUUGUUAAACUAGUUCUCCGAUCAAUAUCUUUUAUUUCCCAUUUUCCUUGUGGUUUUAAUUUGUUUGAGUUCCUUUUAUAAGAUUAUAUAUAUCAUUCUUGGAAGUUCAUAAUAUCAUGUUCCAUUGUCAAAUUCUGCAAACUGCAAAAUUUAUCACAAAUAUUGAUACAUGUAUCACCGUUUUCAGGCAUGAUCCUAAACAUGCUAAAAUUGAAAAUCAGUGAUCAGAUUACACGAGCCCCCUUCUGAAGAUAGUAUUAAACGCACUUCAAAACGCACAUUAUAUGACAUGCGUAUUACAAUGGCC
This 638-nucleotide long non-coding RNA is filed under the name Mytilus galloprovincialis (Mediterranean mussel). The record is from RNAcentral. Lineage: Eukaryota; Metazoa; Mollusca; Bivalvia; Mytilida; Mytilidae.